Molecule: ribosomal RNA, 253 nt
Filed under: uncultured bacterium
Lineage: Bacteria
Description: partial 16S ribosomal RNA
Rfam family: Bacterial small subunit ribosomal RNA
Source: RNAcentral
GACAGAGGGUGCAAACGUUGCUCGGAAUCACUGGGCGUAAAGGGCGUGUAGGCGGGAAGGAAAGUCAGAUGUGAAAUCCCUGGGCUCAACCCAGGAACUGCAUUUGAAACUCCCUUUCUUGAGUGUCGGAGAGGAAAGCGGAAUUCCUGGUGUAGAGGUGAAAUUCGUAGAUAUCAGGAGGAACACCGGUGGCGAAGGCGGCUUUCUGGACGACAACUGACGCUGAGAUGCGAAAGCGUGGGGAGCAAACAGG